Molecule: ribosomal RNA, 403 nt
Filed under: uncultured bacterium
Lineage: Bacteria
Description: partial 16S ribosomal RNA
Rfam family: Bacterial small subunit ribosomal RNA
Source: RNAcentral
AUUGAACGCUGGCGGCGUGCCUAAUACAUGCAAGUCGAACGCAGUGGGGACGGGUGAGUAACACGUGGGUAACCUCCCAUCAGAAGGGAUAACACUUGGAAACAGGUGCUAAACCGAUACUGAUGGAUGAACCCGCUGUGCCUUUGCUAGUUGGUGAGGUAACGGCUCACCAAGGCCACGAUGCAUCGCCGACCGGAGAGGGUGAUGGGCAACACUGGGACUGAGACACGGCCCAGACUCCUACGGGAGGCAGCAGUGGGGAAUAUUGGACAAGGGGCGAAGGCCUGAUCCAGCCAUGCCGCGUGGGUGAAGAAGGUCUUCGGAUUGUAAAGCACUUUAAGUUGGGAGGCGUUACCAACAGAAUAAGCACCGGCUAACUUCGUGCCAGCAGCCGCGGUAAUAC